RNAcentral lists this transfer RNA (75 nucleotides) under Hyphomicrobiaceae bacterium TMED74. RNAcentral describes it as "tRNA-Asn". It matches the Rfam family "tRNA". Rfam says of the family: Transfer RNA (tRNA) molecules are approximately 80 nucleotides in length. Their secondary structure includes four short double-helical elements and three loops (D, anti-codon, and T loops). Lineage: Bacteria; Pseudomonadati; Pseudomonadota; Alphaproteobacteria; Hyphomicrobiales; Hyphomicrobiaceae. RNAcentral also lists the same sequence under 1 other name. The record is from RNAcentral.
UCUGGCAUGGUGUUAAUGGCAGCACGCCCGACUGUUAAUCGGUCAGUCCUGGUUCGAGUCCAGGUGCCAGAGCCA